RNAcentral lists this ribosomal RNA (1261 nucleotides) under arsenic-oxidizing bacterium B07. RNAcentral's name for it is "bacterial SSU rRNA". It matches the Rfam family "Bacterial small subunit ribosomal RNA", at positions 102 to 1375 of the family's 1533-position model. The record is from RNAcentral.
ACGGGUGAGUAACACGUGAGUAACCUGCCCUUGACUCUGGGAUAAGCGUUGGAAACGACGUCUAAUACCGGAUACGAGCUUCCACCGCAUGGUGAGUUGCUGGAAAGAAUUUUGGUCAAGGAUGGACUCGCGGCCUAUCAGCUUGUUGGUGAGGUAACGGCUCACCAAGGCGACGACGGGUAGCCGGCCUGAGAGGGUGACCGGCCACACUGGGACUGAGACACGGCCCAGACUCCUACGGGAGGCAGCAGUGGGGAAUAUUGCACAAUGGGCGAAAGCCUGAUGCAGCAACGCCGCGUGAGGGACGACGGCCUUCGGGUUGUAAACCUCUUUUAGCAGGGAAGAAGCGAAAGUGACGGUACCUGCAGAAAAAGCACCGGCUAACUACGUGCCAGCAGCCGCGGUAAUACGUAGGGUGCAAGCGUUGUCCGGAAUUAUUGGGCGUAAAGAGCUCGUAGGCGGUUUGUCGCGUCUGCUGUGAAAUCCCGAGGCUCAACCUCGGGUCUGCAGUGGGUACGGGCAGACUAGAGUGCGGUAGGGGAGAUUGGAAUUCCUGGUGUAGCGGUGGAAUGCGCAGAUAUCAUGAGGAACACCGAUGGCGAAGGCAGAUCUCUGGGCCGCUACUGACGCUGAGGAGCGAAAGGGUGGGGAGCAAACAGGCUUAGAUACCCUGGUAGUCCACCCCGUAAACGUUGGGCGCUAGAUGUGGGGACCAUUCCACGGUUUCCGUGUCGUAGCUAACGCAUUAAGCGCCCCGCCUGGGGAGUACGGCCGCAAGGCUAAAACUCAAAGGAAUUGACGGGGGCCCGCACAAGCGGCGGAGCAUGCGGAUUAAUUCGAUGCAACGCGAAGAACCUUACCAAGGCUUGACAUAUACGAGAACGGGCCAGAAAUGGUCAACUCUUUGGACACUCGUAAACAGGUGGUGCAUGGUUGUCGUCAGCUCGUGUCGUGAGAUGUUGGGUUAAGUCCCGCAACGAGCGCAACCCUCGUUCUAUGUUGCCAGCACGUUAUGGUGGGAACUCAUGGGAUACUGCCGGGGUCAACUCGGAGGAAGGUGGGGACGACGUCAAAUCAUCAUGCCCCUUAUGUCUUGGGCUUCACGCAUGCUACAAUGGCCAGUACAAAGGGCUGCAAUACCGUAAGGUGGAGCGAAUCCCAAAAAGCUGGUCCCAGUUCGGAUUGAGGUCUGCAACUCGACCUCAUGAAGUCGGAGUCGCUAGUAAUCGCAGAUCAGCAACGCUGCGGUGAAUACGUUCCC